GCCUAGUGCAGCUCCCAGACCUCGCAGAGCAGCGCGGUCAGCCUCGGGUCCUUCGUCCGCCACGUCACCAGCACCUCGGCGUGGGUAUGCAGUACUGCUCUGAGCACCGUGCAGAAAGGUACGGAUGAAUCUGUGCCUCUUACCUUUACAACCUUCACAAGUGCAGCAUGCAGAGGAUUUCUGCAAGUUUCCAUGCUUUCCAUGGGUCUGUGGCAUCAUGCACAGCAAAAUGGCAUUGCCCUUCAAAG
Molecule: non-coding RNA, 248 nt
Organism: Meleagris gallopavo (turkey)
Lineage: Eukaryota; Metazoa; Chordata; Aves; Galliformes; Phasianidae
Source: RefSeq, a predicted model, not a curated record